Molecule: ribosomal RNA, 465 nt
Filed under: uncultured bacterium
Lineage: Bacteria
Description: partial 16S ribosomal RNA
Rfam family: Bacterial small subunit ribosomal RNA
Source: RNAcentral
GACGAACGCUGGCGGCGUGCUUAACACAUGCAGGUCGAACGGAAAGGCCCUGCUUGCAGGGUACUCGAGUGGCGAACGGGUGAGUAACACGUGGGUGAUCUGCCCUGCACUUCGGGAUAAGCCUGGGAAACUGGGUCUAAUACCGGAUAGGAGCCAUUUUUAGUGUGAUGGUUGGAAAGUUUUUUCGGUGUAGGAUGAGCUCGCGGCCUAUCAGCUUGUUGGUGGGGUAAUGGCCUACCAAGGCGGCGACGGGUAGCCGGCCUGAGAGGGUGGACGGCCACAUUGGGACUGAGAUACGGCCCAGACUCCUACGGGAGGCAGCAGUGGGGAAUAUUGCACAAUGGGCGCAAGCCUGAUGCAGCGACGCCGCGGGGGGGAUGACGGCCUUCGGGUUGUAAACUCCUUUCGCUAGGGACGAAGCUUUUUGUGACGGUACCUAGAUAAGAAGCACCGGCUAACUACGUG